Molecule: long non-coding RNA, 1212 nt
Filed under: Carassius auratus (goldfish)
Lineage: Eukaryota; Metazoa; Chordata; Actinopteri; Cypriniformes; Cyprinidae
Description: lncRNA (ENSCARG00000068596.1)
Source: RNAcentral
AUGAACGGGCCAAAACGGACAUGGCAGCAGGUCAAAAUCAAAUACAAGAACAUUCUGCAGAAUGCAGUGAAAAAGAAUACCCACAGACAAGGCACGGGUGGUGGGUCACCAAAGGCUGACCUUACCCCAGCAGAGGACAUGGCCUUGGAGCUAAAUAAAGGCAGGCCCGUCUUAGAGGGGAUCCCUGGGGGGAAAGAGACGAGCAUAGGUCCCUCCCAAGAUGCCACCCGCUUCAUUCAAGGCAUGUCCUUCCAUCUCUACAUGGAAUACAACCACAUUCAUAUUGAAUCAAUUUGGACUGUCUGACUUUGGUUUACCUAUUGCCUUGCAGUGUCUGGCAGCACUGUGUUCCUGUUAGAGCCACCAGCACAAGCACCAGACGAUGCUGAUCCAGUGAGUACUCCAUCAAAGGCAUACUGUAGGCCUGGCAUGUCUUGUCUACUAGCUUCAAUAUGAAUCCGAUUAAAUGUGAUAGGGUGAAAGCCCCAGUACAGCAGCAACAGCACAUGAUGGAGACGAUGAUGAGGAGGAGACCAUCUCUCUGGAUUCCAGAAGGCAUGAGGUAUCAUGUUAAGACUGUGAAAGUACUAUUUACUCUACAAUGGUGAGGAGUCCUCAUCAAAAUCAAAAAAUCUAAUUUCUUUUACAGGACCCAGAUGCUAUACAGUGGGAAAACCAGCCUGGCAACAUAGUGCGUAUUAAUAAAAGGACACCACAUCCUGCCAAAUUCCAGCUGCGCUAAUUGUAUUUUGUUCACAGAGCUCACAAGCUAUCAGAAAGUUGUAUGGCAACCACCUCCGGCGCCAAAUAGAACUGGCAGACAUAGACAUUCAGUACAAGAAGAAAAAGCUAGAAAAUCUUGCACUGGAGUCCGAAAUAAAAAAGAGGACAAUUAGGAAACUGGACCCUUGAAAAUAAAAAAAACUUGAGAGGGAGGUGAGAUAUGCCUUCAAUGUACACUGUAUGCUAACUGUAACACAAAUGUAUUAAUCAUUAUUUUUCUUUCCUCCCCCAGCUCCAAGAAGAUGACACAGCUCAAAAUAAAAAUUAGGUAUAUUCUCGUAAAGUCAAGUGAGCCAUGACAUAUGAGCUCUUAUUGUGAGCACACAGGACGGUGGCAUCUUUCUAAGGUAUUUUUUAUUUUCACAGCAAUCAGUACAACCAAGUCAUCGUUAUAAGGCACCAGCCUCUUUUGCCCACCCCCCCAGCACC